UUCGCAAUGCCCGAAAGGGUGACGAAGCGACGCCGCGUGCGGGAAGAAGGCCUUCGGGUUGUAAACCGCUGUCGGGAGUUAAGAAAUGUAAGGAUGUUAAUAGCAUCUUUGCUUGACUAAGGCUCCGGAGGAAGCCGCGGCUAACUCUGUGCCAGCAGCCGCGGUAAUACAGAGGCGGCAAGCGUUGUUCGGAAUUAUUGGGCGUAAAGAGCACGUAGGCGGCUAUGUAAGUCGGUUGUGAAAGCCUUCCGCUCAACGGGAGAACAGCAUCCGGUACUGCAUGGCUUGAGUGCGGGAGGGGAGAGUGGAACUUCUGGUGGAGCGGUGAAAUGCGUAGAUAUCAGAAGGAACGCCGGCGGCGAAAGCGGCUCUCUGGCCCAUAACUGACGCUGAGUGUGCGAAAGCUAGGGGAGCAAACGGGAUUAGAUACCCCGGUAGUCCUAGCCGUAAACGAUGGGCACUAAGUAGAGGGGUUUU
Molecule: ribosomal RNA, 477 nt
Filed under: uncultured bacterium
Lineage: Bacteria
Description: bacterial SSU rRNA
Rfam family: Bacterial small subunit ribosomal RNA
Source: RNAcentral